Molecule: ribosomal RNA, 257 nt
Filed under: uncultured bacterium
Lineage: Bacteria
Description: partial 16S ribosomal RNA
Rfam family: Bacterial small subunit ribosomal RNA
Source: RNAcentral
AACGGAGGGGGCAAGUGUUACUCGUAAGGACUGGGCGUAAAGGGUUCGUAGGCGGUUUGUAGCAAGUUAGGUGUUAAAUAAUAAGUCUUAAGCUUAUUUUUGCAUCUAAAACUGACAAUACUGGAGUUUGAUAGAGGACAAGGGUACUUUUGAUGGAGAGGUAGAAUUCGUAGGUAUCAAUAGGGACCACCAACUGGCGAAGGCGCUUAUCUGGGUCAAACUGACGCUGAGGAACGAAAGCGCGGGGAGCAAACAGG